CUGGCUCAGGAUGAACGCUAGCGACAGGCUAACACAUGCAAGUCGAGGGCAGCAUAGAAGUAGCAAUACUUGGUGGCGACCGGCGCACGGGUGAGUAACGCGUAUGCAACCUACCUAUCAGAGGGGAAUAACCCGGCGAAAGUCGGACUAAUACCGCAUAAAACAGGGGCACCGCAUGGUGAUAUUUGUUAAAGAAAUUCGCUGAUAGAUGGGCAUGCGUUCCAUUAGGUAGUUGGUGAGGUAACGGCUCACCAAGCCGACGAUGGAUAGGGGAACUGAGAGGUUGGUCCCCCACACUGGUACUGAGACACGGACCAGACUCCUACGGGAGGCAGCAGUGAGGAAUAUUGGUCAAUGGGCGGGAGCCUGAACCAGCCAAGUCGCCGUGAAGGAAGAAGGAUCUAUGGUUCGUAAACUUCUUUUGCAGGGGAAUAAAGUGCAGGACGUGUCCUGUUUUGUAUGUACCCUGAGAAUAAGGAUCGGCUAACUCCGUGCCAGCCGCGGC
RNAcentral lists this ribosomal RNA (505 nucleotides) under uncultured bacterium. Its description in RNAcentral is "bacterial SSU rRNA". It matches the Rfam family "Bacterial small subunit ribosomal RNA", at positions 19 to 518 of the family's 1533-position model. The record is from RNAcentral.